CGGCGGACGGGUGAGUAACGCGUGGGUAACCUGCCUCAUACAGGGGGAUAACAGUUAGAAAUGACUGCUAAUACCGUAUAAGCGCACAGGACCGCAUGGUCAAGUGUGAAAAACUCCGGUGGUAUGAGAUGGACCCGCGUCUGAUUAGCUGGUUGGUGAGGUAACGGCCCACCAAGGCGACGAUCAGUAGCCGACCUGAGAGGGUGGCCGGCCACAUUGGGACUGAGACACGGCCCAAACUCCUACGGAAGGCAGCAG
RNAcentral lists this ribosomal RNA (258 nucleotides) under uncultured bacterium. RNAcentral's name for it is "partial 16S ribosomal RNA". It matches the Rfam family "Bacterial small subunit ribosomal RNA", at positions 96 to 354 of the family's 1533-position model. The record is from RNAcentral.